GAUGAAGAACGUAGCGAAAUGCGAUACUUGGUGUGAAUUGCAGAAUCCCGUGAACCAUCGAGUCUUUGAACGCAAGUUGCGCCCGAAGCCAUCAGGUUGAGGGCACGUCUGCCUGGGCGUCACAUAUCGUUGCCCAAUGCCUAUUGCAGUGCAAUAGGAAUUUCUAGGGCGAAUGAUGGCUUCCCGUGAGCGUUGUUGCCUCGCGGUUGGUUGAAAAUCGAGUCCUUGGUAGGGUGUGCCAUGGUAGAUGGUGGUCGAGUUAGAACCAUACCGAUCAUGUGCAUGCUCCCCAAAAUAUGGCCUCUAUGACCCACACGCGUCUUUUGACGCUCAUGACGAGACCUCAGGUCAGGCGGGGCUACCCGCUGAAUUUAAGCAUAUCAAUAAGCGGAGGA
RNAcentral lists this unclassified non-coding RNA (395 nucleotides) under soil metagenome. RNAcentral's name for it is "partial contains 5.8S ribosomal RNA, internal transcribed spacer 2, and large subunit ribosomal RNA". The stretch from base 1 to 122 matches the Rfam family "5.8S ribosomal RNA", at positions 35 to 154 of the family's 154-position model. The record is from RNAcentral.